This 157-nucleotide non-coding RNA is filed under the name pig gut metagenome. RNAcentral's name for it is "Lysine riboswitch". It matches the Rfam family "Lysine riboswitch aptamer", at positions 9 to 161 of the family's 182-position model. From Rfam's summary of the family: Riboswitches are metabolite binding domains within certain messenger RNAs that serve as precision sensors for their corresponding targets. Allosteric rearrangement of mRNA structure is mediated by ligand binding, and this results in modulation of gene expression. This family includes riboswitches that sense lysine in a number of genes involved in lysine metabolism, including lysC. The record is from RNAcentral.
AAUAGAGGAGCGGACGAGCAUUAGUAUCUUUUGCUUUAGUCAAGUGAGAGCUUGACCGCAUUGAAAAAGGGCAUCUCCGCCGAAGUCGUAUGGCAAAAUCUGCCAACGGCUGGGCAUACGGGCUAAUACCCGUGUGACUGUCACUUUACGUGUUGCG